GGUUAAGCGACUAAGCGUACACGGUGGAUGCCCUGGCAGUCAGAGGCGAUGAAGGACGUGCUAAUCUGCGAUAAGCGUCGGUGAGGUGAUAUGAACCGUUAUAACCGGCGAUUUCCGAAUGGGGAAACCCAGUGUGUUUCGACACACUAUCAUUAACUGAAUCCAUAGGUUAAUGAGGCGAACCGGGGGAACUGAAACAUCUAAGUACCCCGAGGAAAAGAAAUCAACCGAGAUUCCCCCAGUAGCGGCGAGCGAACGGGGAGGAGCCCAGAGCCUGAAUCAGUGUGUGUGUUAGUGGAAGCGUCUGGAAAGGC
Molecule: ribosomal RNA, 314 nt
Filed under: Escherichia coli
Lineage: Bacteria; Pseudomonadati; Pseudomonadota; Gammaproteobacteria; Enterobacterales; Enterobacteriaceae
Description: partial 23S ribosomal RNA
Rfam family: Bacterial large subunit ribosomal RNA
Source: RNAcentral